UUUUUUAGGGUAUAGUUUCUGCAGAGCAGCAGUAGACAGAUGUUUUAUUUAGAUUAGUUCCUAUAUUACCAUCAAGUUGAGGAACUAGUCUCACAAAAAAUGGGGAUAGGGAUGCUGGACCACGCUGGACAGUUCGCCUGACCAUCGCAGGGCGAGUAGAAGAAUAUAAACUAGGUACAUUUAGCUGAAGACCAAGCAAUGGUUGCUUUGCAUUCAGCUGGUAUGUGCUACAACACCCAGAUGAGCUCUUGAGACCCUACACAGAUGCUUGUCUCCACUUAUUUCUUGGAAUGCUUCUCUAAUUGGGCUACUCUCCAGCUCUUUACUCUGAUUGAAGAGGGAAUGAGUCACCACUACACCACACUUUCCUCAUCAGCUUUCUCUACAAAGAUACGCUCAACUUAGAAGCCACUUUUUCAAUGUUAUUUCCUAUAGAAGCUCUAAAGUGACAUAUAAAGCUAACGCAACAAAAGUAUUGCUUUAAAAACGAAAUGUGGAUUGAUUUAUCGCGAAACUAACUUUAAAUGAAGUGGUACGUUUCUCUCGACUGAUCUGAAGUACAACCUGCAUCCACAGGAACCUUGGGAGCCCCAACUCUUCCCCUUAAGUGGAGCAGAGUACGUUGACCUUCUUGCUGAAGAAGAGACCGCACCAGGAUGGAUAGAUUCAAUCUCAUCCUCUCAUUUAUCCAAUGCUGCCGCCCCCAUCUCGCCAUAUCUCAAGUCUUGCAGUCAGAAAGCAUGAGCCAAAAAUGUGAAAAAACUGGAAAACUGAAGACAUUUCAUGGAAUGAACAUGAACACUGUGAUACUGAGAUUAUUACUUGGAUGUUGUUUUAACUGAUCUAUUUGUCUUUACCUACACUUUUAUGAUUAAAAAAAAAAGAUUUAUUGUAAUUCAAAUAUCAGAUGCUUGCUAUUGUAAGGCAACUCCUGUGCCGUGUCAGGUUUACAUGCUUUAAACUUGUUAACUGCCAUUUCUUUCUUUGGUUGCCUUAAAAAAUGUGUUUACCUAUCAAUACAUUUUCAAAGAUGCAUUUGUUUUCCUAUUUAGGUGCCAUUGUUGUCUAUUUUGCUUGAUAAAAACAUGGAAGGUAGAAGUGGACAUUAAUGUAGGUUGAUGUUUUUGUGCUCUAAUAAAACAGGACAUUCUGAUGUUUUUAAACCAAGAUAUGAGAGUUCUCUUAUUAAUCCUCAUUUUCAAUUAAAAUGAUGCGAUUAAAGCUGCAGGUACAGUAAACUCUAAUCAAUUUUUUUUAAACACAGAAUUUUGCAGUUUACUUGUCAGCUUUUGUCCAAGUAAUUUUGCAUUGCAAGGAACUUUCCCCUUAAGUAAAAUAAAAAAUAAACCUGUUAGAAUGGCAGCAUUUACAGUCAGGACCAUAAAUAUUUGGAUAGAGACACAUUCUUUCUAAUUUAGUUUCUGUACAUUACCACAGUGAAUUUUACAUAAAACAACUCUGAUGCCGUUGACGUGCAGACAUUCAGCUUUUAUUUCAUGGGUUGAACAAAAAGAUUGCAUAAAAAUUUGAAAAACUAAAGCAUUUUUUUAAACACAAUCCCUUCAUUUCAUCGGCUCCUAAG
This is a long non-coding RNA of Oryzias sinensis (Chinese medaka), 1582 nucleotides long. The record is from Ensembl. Lineage: Eukaryota; Metazoa; Chordata; Actinopteri; Beloniformes; Adrianichthyidae.